AUGGUGAAGUACCCAUAUUGGCUACGCAUAGGCACUGAUUACGCGUACCGUUCUCGUGCUAAUUGCAAUGUAAGUACAGUAGCUCAUCUUCUGGGAAAAUCCUUGAUUGAAUUUGAAGGGAACAAAUCAAUGUCAAUCGAUGAUGUUGGUGAAGAGGAGGUUGUUGUAGAAGCUUCUGGAAUGGGGAAGAGGAGUAAUGGGGGUCCAUGUUUGGAAAAUGCGCAACUGUAA
Vicia faba (fava bean) is the source of this 231-nucleotide non-coding RNA. NCBI's taxonomy places the organism in Eukaryota, Viridiplantae, Streptophyta, Magnoliopsida, Fabales, Fabaceae. The record is from the annotation of a GenBank genome assembly.